AGUCCUGCUGGGCUGAUGGCUGCCUGUGGAAGUGACUCAGCUCCUGCCCGACACAGGGCCUCCAGGAAAAGGACAGGAGCUCACUCAGCCAUGGACAGGGAUGCAUCUGGAGCAGGAACAAGGAUGCUGACGACAUCUGUGUCUGCCCUCCACUCUUAGCAGACUGGCUGAUACUCUGCUGAAUACAGAGUGCCUUGGCGAGCCUCUGAGGAUGCUGUAAUCCAAUCAAAGUCCAGGGUGGCUUUCGAGGAGAAGGAUGUGAAAGGGCAGGGCUUCCUUUGCGGGCGAAAUGGAGAGAAGGGAGAAGAUCCAGAGAAGAGCGAGUGAGAGAAGUGGUCAUCAUGAUCGGCUCGGUGCUCUUCAGUGUCCUCCAGGGUCAACACCCUCCUGGGUAGACCUCUCACCACCCAUUUUUGUGGGGUGGGGGGGCAAGAGGCUUGGGGCCAGGUCAUUAAAAGUCAGAUGUCACAGAGCUGUUUUCAUAGAGGCAGGCAGGACCCAAUGCUGCCUCAUUCACAUUCACAGGCUGGAGUCAUAAUAGAUGCUGGCCACCUUCUCCUCUGGAGGGCAGGUAACACCACUGGUCAGCCCAGGGGUGGGGCACAGGAUGAGGUCUCACAUGUGGCUGCAUCAGGAUCAAUGAGCUUCCCAAAGAGAAAACCUUGGUUACAGGAGGCCUCUGGGAGCCAGGGAAGGCUCCCAGGCCCCUAGCCUUAGGUAGGGUCCCAAGAGGAUUGGUGGGAGUGUGCAUGGCUGGAAGUGUGACUUGGAGCCCUGGCCCACCAGGUGAAUCAGCUGCAGAAGGGACACACCACAGGGGAGGAGAAACUGACUUUCACUUCUGCCCAGGUGAUGGGCAGGCUCGGGAGUGGGGAAGAGGCUUCAGAUCAAAGUGACUUUGCUGCUCCUCCCAUUAAGAGGCAGAACCUAUUUCCUCAGUCCUUGCAUCUGUGACUCAGUUUGAUCAACUGAAGAAAGAAGUGACAUUGUGCAACUUCAGAGCCAGACCUCAAGAGACCUUGUAGCUUCUCUUCUGCUUGUUGGAACACAACAAUGUGGGAAGCCCAGGCCAGCCUGCUGGGCACAUGUGGCCCAACCGGCAGCCACGAGUGUGCAGUCAUCUGAGACCACUGGACAACUGCAGCCACAUGAAGUGUGAACAACAGAAGAACUCCCCAGCUGAGCCAAGCCCACAGAAUUGAGCAAAUAACAUGGCUUUUGUUUGAAACAGUAA
Molecule: non-coding RNA, 1234 nt
Organism: Macaca mulatta (Rhesus monkey)
Lineage: Eukaryota; Metazoa; Chordata; Mammalia; Primates; Cercopithecidae
Source: RefSeq, a predicted model, not a curated record